This 727-nucleotide ribosomal RNA is filed under the name uncultured euryarchaeote. Its description in RNAcentral is "bacterial SSU rRNA". It matches the Rfam family "Archaeal small subunit ribosomal RNA", at positions 129 to 859 of the family's 1478-position model. Lineage: Archaea; Methanobacteriati; Methanobacteriota. The record is from RNAcentral.
GUUACUGGAAACUGAGGCUAAUCCCGGAUAGGCACAGGCUUCUGGAAAGAGCCAGUGCCCAAAGCUCCGGCGCCUGAGGAUGGGCCUGCGGCCGAUUAGGUUGUUGGCGGGGUAAUGGCCCACCAAGCCGACGAUCGGUACGGGCAGUGAGAGCUGUAGCCCGGAGAUGGGGACUGAGACAAGGCCCCAGGCCCUACGGGGCGCAGCAGGCGCGAAACCUUCACAAUGCUCGAAAGAGUGAUGAGGGUACUCCGAGUGCCUAUGCUUUGCAUAGGCUUUUGUCUAGCGUAAAUAGUUGGGCGAAUAAGGGCUGGGCAAGACCGGUGCCAGCCGCCGCGGUAACACCGGCAGCCCAAGUGGUGACCGCUUUUAUUGGGCCUAAAGCGUCCGUAGCCGGACAGGCAAGUCUUUGGGUAAAUCCUACGUCUUAAGCGUGGGAAUUCUAAAGAUACUACCUGUCUUGAGGCCGGGAGAGGCUAGAGGUACUCCUGGGGUAGGGGUAAAAUCCUAUAAUCCCAGGGGGACCACCGAUGGCGAAGGCAUCUAGCCGGAACGGGUCUGACGGUGAGGGACGAAACCCAGGGGAGCGAGCCGGAUUAGAUACCCGGGUAGUCCUGGGCGUAAAUGAUGUGGGCUUGGUGUGAGCGCAUCGACGAGGUGUGCUUGUGCCGUAGGGAAGCCGUUAAGCCCACCGCCUGGGGAGUACGGUCGCAAGGCUGAAACUUAA